AACGAACGCUGGCGGCAGGCUUAACACAUGCAAGUCGAACGCGUGUAGCAAUACACGAGUGGCGCACGGGUGAGUAACGCGUGGAUAUCUGCCUUUUGGUUCGGAAUAACUCCGGGAAACUGGAGCUAAUACCGGAUGGUUCCUUCGGGAUAAAGAUUUAUCGCCAAAAGAUGAGUCCGCGUACGAUUAGCUAGUUGGUGAGGUAAUGGCUCACCAAGGCGACGAUCGUUAGCUGGUCUGAGAGGACGAUCAGCCACACUGGGACUGAGACACGGCCCAGACUCCUACGGGAGGCAGCAGUGGGGAAUAUUGGACAAUGGGGGCAACCCUGAUCCAGCCAUGCCGCGUGAGUGAUGAAGGCCUUCGGGUUGUAAAGCUCUUUUGGCGGGGACGAUGAUGACGGUACCCGCAGAAUAAGCCCCGGCUAACUUCGUGCCAGCAGCCGCGGUAAGACGAAGGGGGCUAGCGUUGUUCGGAAUUACUGGGCGUAAAGCGAGUGUAGGUGGUUGUCAUAGUCAGGUGUGAAAGCCUUGAGCUCAACUCAAGAAAUGCACUUGAUACUGGGCGACUAGAGGACCGGAGAGGAUAGUGGAAUUCCCAGUGUAGUGGUGAAAUACGUAGAGAUUGGGAAGAACACCAGUGGCGAAGGCGGCUAUCUGGACGGUUUCUGACACU
This 675-nucleotide ribosomal RNA is filed under the name uncultured Alphaproteobacteria bacterium. Its description in RNAcentral is "bacterial SSU rRNA". It matches the Rfam family "Bacterial small subunit ribosomal RNA", at positions 28 to 747 of the family's 1533-position model. Lineage: Bacteria; Pseudomonadati; Pseudomonadota; Alphaproteobacteria. The record is from RNAcentral.